AUGAAUGCCCAACCCCUCAAAGUGAUUGUGUGGAAUGUUCAGGGCCUCAAUGCUCUGGCUCGUAGGAGUGCAGUUUAUCAAGUGGUUGCGUCGGCAAAUCCGGCUACUGUAUGCAUGUAGGAAAUGAAGUUACAAGAUGUAUCUCUGACUAUUGUACAAUAGUGCCUUGGUAAUAAAUUUGGGUAGUUUUUCUACUUGCCGGCGGUUGGGACUCAUGGAGGAAUCCUGGUGGCUUGGGAUGACUCAAUAACCCAACUGUCAAACCCACAUUACACGGAUAACACACUAACUGCAGGAGUGGUGGCUCACAUGUGUCUAUGGUCCUCAUGA
Molecule: ribosomal RNA, 330 nt
Filed under: Triticum aestivum (bread wheat)
Lineage: Eukaryota; Viridiplantae; Streptophyta; Magnoliopsida; Poales; Poaceae
Description: partial small subunit ribosomal RNA
Source: RNAcentral